Molecule: transfer RNA, 75 nt
Filed under: Acidobacteriota bacterium
Lineage: Bacteria; Pseudomonadati; Acidobacteriota
Description: tRNA-Arg
Rfam family: tRNA
About the family: Transfer RNA (tRNA) molecules are approximately 80 nucleotides in length. Their secondary structure includes four short double-helical elements and three loops (D, anti-codon, and T loops). Further hydrogen bonds mediate the characteristic L-shaped molecular structure. tRNAs have two regions of fundamental functional importance: the anti-codon, which is responsible for specific mRNA codon recognition, and the 3' end, to which the tRNAs corresponding amino acid is attached (by aminoacyl-tRNA synthetases). tRNAs cope with the degeneracy of the genetic code in two manners: having more than one tRNA (with a specific anti-codon) for a particular amino acid; and 'wobble' base-pairing, i.e. permitting non-standard base-pairing at the 3rd anti-codon position.
Source: RNAcentral
AGCCGGUUAGCUCAGCGGAAUAAGAGCGGCGGUCUUCUAAACCGCAGGUCGUCGGUUCAAAUCCGACACCGGCUA